RNAcentral lists this ribosomal RNA (294 nucleotides) under Escherichia coli. Its description in RNAcentral is "partial 23S ribosomal RNA". It matches the Rfam family "Bacterial large subunit ribosomal RNA", at positions 308 to 599 of the family's 2925-position model. Lineage: Bacteria; Pseudomonadati; Pseudomonadota; Gammaproteobacteria; Enterobacterales; Enterobacteriaceae. The record is from RNAcentral.
CUACACGGAGUUACAAAGGAACGAGGUAAAUGAACAGGUCUGGAAAGGCCGGCCAGAGAAGGUAAAAGCCCUGUAGUUGAAACUUCGUUCCCUCCAGAGUGGAUCCUGAGUACGGCGGGACACGAGAAAUCCCGUCGGAAGCAGGGAGGACCAUCUCCCAAGGCUAAAUACUCCCUAGUGACCGAUAGUGAACCAGUACCGUGAGGGAAAGGUGAAAAGCACCCCGGAAGGGGAGUGAAAGAGAUCCUGAAACCGUGUGCCUACAAGUAGUUAGAGCCCGUUAAUGGGUGAUAG